Molecule: ribosomal RNA, 254 nt
Filed under: uncultured bacterium
Lineage: Bacteria
Description: partial 16S ribosomal RNA
Rfam family: Bacterial small subunit ribosomal RNA
Source: RNAcentral
UACGUAGGCAGCGAGCGUUGUUCGGAGUUACUGGGCGUAAAGGGUGUGUAGGCGGUUUUUUAAGUUUGGUGUGAAAUCUCCCGGCUCAACUGGGAGGGUGCGCCGAAUACUGAAUGACUUGGAGUGCGGGAGAGGAGAGUGGAAUUCCUGGUGUAGCGGUGAAAUGCGUAGAUAUCAGGAGGAACACCGGUGGUGUAGACGGCUCUCUGGACCGUAACUGACGCUGAGACACGAAAGCGUGGGUAGCAAACAGG